GAUGAACGCUGGCGGCGUGCCUAAUACAUGCAAGUCGAGCGAAGCGGGGACGGGUGAGUAACACGUGGAUAAACUCCUAUAAGACUGGGAUAACUUCGGGAACCCGGAGCUAACACGGAAACUGAUAGAUGGAUCAGCGCUGCAUUAGCGAGUUGGUAAGGUACCGGCUUACCAAGGAAACGAUGCAUAGCCGACCUGAGAGGGUGAUCGGCCACACGGGAACUGAGACAAGGUCCAGACUCCGACGUGAGGCAGCAGUAGGGAAUCUUCCGAAAUGGGCGAAAGCCUGACGGAGGAACGCCGCGUGAGUGAUGAAGGUCUUCUGAUCGUAAAACUCUGUUAUUAGUGAAGCGGUACCUAAUCAGAAAGCCACUGCUAACUACGUGCCAGCCGCCGCGGUAAUAC
Molecule: ribosomal RNA, 405 nt
Filed under: uncultured bacterium
Lineage: Bacteria
Description: partial 16S ribosomal RNA
Rfam family: Bacterial small subunit ribosomal RNA
Source: RNAcentral